AGCAGCCGCGGUAAUUCCAGCUCCAAUAGCGUAUAUUAAAGUUGUUGCAGUUAAAAAGCUCGUAGUUGAAUUUCGGGGUUAGUAGGUUGGUCAUGCCUCUGGUAUGUACUGGUCUCACUGGUUCCUCCUUCCUGAUGAGCCGUAAUGCCAUUAAUUUGGUGUUGCGGGGAAUUUGGACUGUUACUUUGAAAAAUUAGAGUGUUUAAAGCAAGCUAACGCUUGAAUACAUUAGCAUGGAAUAAUGAAAUAGGACGUUCGAUCCUAUUUUGUUGGUUUCUAGGAUUGACGUAAUGAUUAAUAGGGAUAGUUGGGGGCAUUAGUAUUCAAUUGUCAGAGGUGAAAUUCUUGGAUUUAUUGAAGACUAACUACUGCGAAAGCAUUUGCCAAGGAUGUUUUCAUUAAUCAAGAACGAAAGUUAGGGGAUCGAAGACGAUCAGAUACCGUCGUAGUCUUAACCAUAAACUAUGCCGACUAGGGAUCGGAUGAUGUUAAUUUUUUAAUGACUCAUUCGGCGCCUUAC
This 520-nucleotide non-coding RNA is filed under the name uncultured Glomus. RNAcentral describes it as "SSU rRNA". It matches the Rfam family "Eukaryotic small subunit ribosomal RNA", at positions 569 to 1091 of the family's 1831-position model. RNAcentral also lists the same sequence under 1 other name. The record is from RNAcentral. Lineage: Eukaryota; Fungi; Glomeromycota; Glomeromycetes; Glomerales; Glomeraceae.